UCCCAAGUGGCUCAACGGUAAAGAAUCUGCCUACCAAGCAGGAGACCCAGGUUCGAUCCUUGGGUUGGAAA
This 71-nucleotide transfer RNA is filed under the name Bos taurus (domestic cattle). It matches the Rfam family "tRNA". From Rfam's summary of the family: Transfer RNA (tRNA) molecules are approximately 80 nucleotides in length. Lineage: Eukaryota; Metazoa; Chordata; Mammalia; Artiodactyla; Bovidae. RNAcentral also lists the same sequence under 2 other names. The record is from Rfam by way of RNAcentral.